Molecule: long non-coding RNA, 1081 nt
Organism: Lagopus muta (rock ptarmigan)
Lineage: Eukaryota; Metazoa; Chordata; Aves; Galliformes; Phasianidae
Exons: 3
Source: RefSeq, a predicted model, not a curated record
UAUGUAAGAAGCCACUUGUUCAGUGCACUCUGCAAAGCAAAAAUGGAAACAAGCUAUUACUUUGUUUUGUGUUUACAUCCUGACAUUUCUAAACAGAAGAAGAAUGUAGAACACUUGUGGAAGAGAUGCUUUUCUCUUAAAUUUGCAAGAAAUAACAAAUGAGAAGUUUGAUUAUGAUGAAUUCGAUUGGGUAAUCAUACAUUAUACGAGAAACAGUCUGAACAAAUAAACAUCUCCAGAGAGUUGGACAUUGUACCUAGUAAAAUCCUAUAAACAAAAUACUUUCCUGAAGAAAGAAAUGUCACAAACAUUUCUGUACCACUUGGACUACUGAUGGACUAUAUUAGAUAAAUCAUCAAGAGUACAAUGAACAGAGAAGCAACUAGUGAAAAAAAUGACUUCUCUUUCCUGGGCUGUCAUUGCUGAAGUCAUUGCUUUAUUUAAUUUAAAAAAAAAAAAGACUGAUAAUAGAAAGACGCUUCAUCACAGAUAAGGUGUGCCCACAGCUACAGUCCUUGAGCCUACUGCAUCCAGGAUCAAUGCCCAGCAUUGAGGAAGGCAGCCUUCUGUAAGUCAUGGAUCGACGGUUGACCACCAUCAACAAAAGUUGUGAGUAUGAAGAAAAUAUUCAAUGAUUUCAAAUGAAGCUUUCAAGCUUUCUGAGACACGAUCCUUUGGAACAUCAGCAGUAUCACUGGCAAUUAUGGGAAGAAGAAGGAAUAACAUGACCCUCUGCUUCAGCACAUUUUUGAUCCCAACUCAAAGAAGUUUUUUAUUUUGGACACACAGUCCUGAUGACUCGACUGAUAUCAAUCAUGACACUGCAGACAUUUUGUGGAGGAGAUCUUCAGGGAGGAAGUGAGGAGAGAACAGACUUUGAGUAUAGAGUAGAAAUAUAUCAAGUAGAAAGGCAAGAAAGAAUUAAUUUCCAUCAUAUACCGAUGCAAUAUACUGCCUUUUCACACCGCAGGAGUAAAAAAAAGUAAGUAAGAGGGAACUAUUUCUAAAAGCACUCAUUCUCAAUGAACUGAGUGGAAAUACUCAGAAUCAGGGCUGCUCGUUUACUGGAAUGAGUGGUUAU